AUUGUGGCUCCGGGCGACGGAAACGUCGAUAACCCCGCCAGGCCCGGAAGGGAGCAACGGUACCGUCGUGACCGGGUGCCCGGAGCCUUACCCCC
RNAcentral lists this signal recognition particle RNA (95 nucleotides) under Myxococcales bacterium. RNAcentral describes it as "signal recognition particle sRNA small type". It matches the Rfam family "Bacterial small signal recognition particle RNA". From Rfam's summary of the family: The signal recognition particle (SRP) is a universally conserved ribonucleoprotein involved in the co-translational targeting of proteins to membranes. The record is from RNAcentral. Lineage: Bacteria; Pseudomonadati; Myxococcota; Myxococcia; Myxococcales.